UCGUAAUGAUCCUUAGCUAAACAGAUUUUAGCUUCUAUAAUUUUUUCUUUAAAGAAUUGAAUUUGAGCAGUAUUAGAUAAAUCAAUUAAAGAUAAUUUAUCAACACAAGAAGGAAUGUAUGACAUAAAUAACACUUACUUGAGGAAGGCAAAAUCUCUCUUUAAUAAUAUUGCACGCCAAAUCGAGAUCACCAAGCUGAUAAUCAAUUUGUACAGUUUGAUCGUGGAGACGAUCAAUGGUUUCGUAAAUAAAAUCUAAAUUACACUCUAGUUUUUUAGCUGGAGAGCACACUAUAUUACACUCACACAAAGUGGGAAUGGUUUCCAGGUUUACACACCUUUUUUACAAGAGAGAGAGAGAGAGAGAAGUCUAAUGCUUAGCUUCAAUUUUUU
RNAcentral lists this long non-coding RNA (392 nucleotides) under Jatropha curcas. Its description in RNAcentral is "long non-coding RNA (JCUR_LNC002995)". Lineage: Eukaryota; Viridiplantae; Streptophyta; Magnoliopsida; Malpighiales; Euphorbiaceae. The record is from RNAcentral.